GGACCCGCACAAGUAGUGGAGCAUGUGGUUUAAUUCGAAGAUACGCGCAGAACCUUACCAACACUUGACAUGUUCGUCGCGACUUUAAGAGAUUAAAGUUUUCGGUUCGGCCGGACGAAACACAGGUGCUGCAUGGCUGUCGUCAGCUCGUGUCGUGAGAUGUUGGGUUAAGUCCCGCAACGAGCGCAACCCUCACUUUUAGUUGCCAUCAUUAAGUUGGGCACUCUGAAAGAACUGCCAGUGAUAAGCUGGAGGAAGGUGGGGAUGACGUCAAGUCCUCAUGGCCCUUACGUGUUGGGCUACACACGUGCUACAAUGGUAUCUACAACAGGAAGCAAGACGGCGACGUUAAGCAAAUCCUUAAAAGAUACCUCAGUUCGGAUUGCACUCUGCAACUCGAGUGCAUGAAGCUGGAAUUACUAG
Molecule: ribosomal RNA, 423 nt
Filed under: uncultured bacterium
Lineage: Bacteria
Description: bacterial SSU rRNA
Rfam family: Bacterial small subunit ribosomal RNA
Source: RNAcentral